CUCCCUGCUAAGAAGCGUGUGUGCUUGUACAAAGGCCGUUCAGCCUCGGGAUUUACACUCGGCUCGACACGGAUAUGUGAAGAAUGAAGGGACCCUGCAGCGAAACGGAGAGCCAACCUCUGACUGAGUGCCUGUUUACGCAGUCUGACCACCUGUUGAAGGGCUGUUUGAUGACGAUUUGGACUCCUCUGGGAGAUGAGGACACACCCACAUCUGUUCCAUACUGCAGCCAUGGAUGGUGUUACAGCUCUGAGUCAGCUUUGGGCCAUCAGACGCACACACUGGAAAACCAGCACCUUCAUGCAGGAGAGACGGCCUCAGUGAUAAUUAAUCAGCAGCUGUGAGGAGAUGCAUUUGAAUAUCUUCUGGUUCCACUUUUCCUAACCUGGAAGCUGAGGAUGGCUAAUUCCUGACAAGGACACAAACCUCAGCGCUUAUCAUGGGUGUUACAUCCUCCGUGCAGCAAUUCCAGAGAAAACGAGAGAGCAACGACCACUCAUUAAGACCAGCCAGAAAUCUGUCCCUUUCUGGCAUCAUAUGAGGAUAUUACAUUUUGACUUAAUUCUGCUCAAUUAAGUGUUUUGAUCGUUGAUCCAGUAUAGCAGCUUUGUGUUGUGCAGCAAGUUAAAACCCAUUGUCCUCACGAGCACAGCAUCUAACAACUCUCCUUAAAAAAACCGAAGGACUUUAACUGGACACAAUGGUUUCCAGUGGGAGAUACAUUCAUCACUCAUCCGUGACACUGGAGAAGUCACCUGGAUGAGUGAUAAAACAAUUUUCCAUGGAAAAUCCAGAGGAACUAAACUUUGUUGUUGUUUCUCUGGGCUCAAUUUCAGCCUCAGGAGCAUCUCUCAGAAGAAAACAUUUUGCCAAUAAUCAGAUAGAAAGAUUGUUGAACCAGGUGGUA
Long non-coding RNA from Pelmatolapia mariae (spotted tilapia), 907 nucleotides. RefSeq lists it as uncharacterized. The record is from RefSeq and is a predicted model, not a curated record. The transcript is spliced from 3 exons. Lineage: Eukaryota; Metazoa; Chordata; Actinopteri; Cichliformes; Cichlidae.